UCAUUUGAAGAAAUUGCCGCAACUUCCAGGCUUCGCCCUCUUCAGUCACACGUUAACGUGCUGGAAAAGAUGAAGCUAAUUACCUAUCAAAUUCGUCUCCCAUUGCAAUAAUUGUGAAUUAUCAACUGUUUCUCACUUCGAGAACUCGAAGCAUUGGCAGCUACUGCGACGAUUUUCCUUUCUCCGGCGGUGAUCGUCCUUCGAGUAUUCUAUGUCUCAGAUCUGACUCUAAUCGAGCUCGUACUCUUCAAGAAUGGAGUUUUGGGGUGGAUUUAGGAUCUGGGUCUUGUCCGUCUGCUUGAUUUUGCAAUGUGGAUAUGGGUUUUAUCUUCCGGGGAGUUACCCUCUCAAACAUAUUGUCGGUGAUGACUUGUCCGUGAAAGUUAAUUCUAUAACCUCUAUCGAUACCGAAAUGCCGUUUAGCUAUUACAGUUUGCCUUUUUGCCAACCUCAAGGCGGCAUUAAGGAUAGUGCUGAAAAUCUUGGCGAGCUUCUAAUGGGGGACCGGAUUGAGAACUCGCCUUAUCUGUUUAAGAUGUAUAAGAAUCAGACAGAUGUGUUUUUGUGUAAGACAGAUCCGUUGAGUGAUGAUCAAUUUAAGACCUUAAAGGAGAGGAUUGAUGAGAUGUAUCAGGUGAACUUGAUCCUGGACAAUUUGCCUGCAAUUCGGUAUACCAAGAAAGAAGGCUAUCAUUUGCGUUGGACAGGAUACCCUGUAGGAAUCAACUUCAAGGGUUCCUACUUUGUCUUUAACCAUUUGAAAUUUAAGGUUCUUGUUCACAAAUAUGAGGAGACCAAUGUAGCGAGCAUAAUGGGAACCGGUGAUGCUGCAGGUGUGAUCCGAACAAUCGGUAAACAGGAACCGGAUGCUCCGGGAUACAUGGUGGUUGGAUUUGAGGUUGUACCCUGCAGUCCUUUGCACAAUGUAGAUUUGGUUAAGAACUUAAAAAUGUACGAAAAGUAUCCAAAUCCUAUUCAAUGUGACCCUGCCAGUGUAUCAACGCAAAUUAAAAAAGGCCAACCUAUAGUGUUCACGUAUGACGUUACAUUUGAAGAGAGCGACAUCAAGUGGCCAUCUCGAUGGGAUGCGUAUUUGAAGAUGGAGGGUUCAAAAGUUCAUUGGUUUUCGAUCUUGAACUCUUUGAUGGUGAUAACGUUUCUCGCUGGUAUUGUUCUUGUGAUCUUCUUGAGGACCGUUCGACGAGAUCUUACACGUUACGAGGAGCUUGAUAAGGAGGCUCAGGCACAGAUGAACGAGGAGUUAUCGGGUUGGAAGCUUGUCGUGGGGGAUGCUUUCCGUGCUCCAGCCAAUCCUGCACUUUUGUGUAUUAUGGUUGGUGAUGGGGUUCAGCUUCUUGGGAUGGGAAUUGUGACCAUAUUGUUUGCUGCUCUUGGGUUCAUGUCCCCAGCAUCCCGUGGAACACUUAUUACAGGCAUGCUAUUUUUCUAUAUGAUUCUCGGCGUCGCAGCCGGCUAUGUUGCUGUACGUCUUUGGAGAACUAUCUGUUGUGGUGACCACAGAGGAUGGGCUUCAGUGUCAUGGAAGGCUGCUUGUUUCUUCCCUGGUAUUGCCUUUCUAAUUCUCACCACGCUGAAUUUUCUAUUAUGGGGCAGUCAAAGCACUGGAGCCAUUCCAUUGUCGCUCUUUGUUAUUCUACUUUUGCUGUGGUUCUGUAUAUCAGUUCCUCUUACUCUUGUUGGUGGCUAUUUUGGUGCCAAGGCACCUCAUAUUGAAUAUCCUGUUAGAACCAACCAAAUCCCACGGGAAAUACCACCCCAGAAAUACCCAUCUUGGCUCUUAGUCCUUGGCGCCGGCACUCUUCCUUUUGGCACCUUAUUCAUAGAACUCUUCUUCAUCAUGUCUAGCCUCUGGAUGGGUCGUGUUUAUUACGUUUUCGGGUUUCUCUUCAUCGUGUUUGUGCUUCUUAUUGUGGUUUGUGCUGAGGUAUCUCUGGUUGUAACCUAUAUGCAUCUUUGUGUGGAAGAUUGGAAAUGGUGGUGGAAGUCUUUCUUUGCUUCUGGUUCAGUUGCCAUAUACAUCUUCUUGUACUCGAUUAAUUAUCUUAUCUUCGAUCUUAAGAGCUUGAGUGGACCUGUCUCAGCCACUCUCUACCUCGGUUAUUCACUCUUCAUGGUUCUUGCAAUCAUGUUCAUAACUGGAACGGUUGGAUUCCUCUCGUCCUUCUGGUUCGUUCAUUACUUGUUCUCUUCUGUGAAGCUGGACUGAGUAACCUCCUCAUACCCAAAAUCCAGCAAGCAUCAAGACGUUUCGUGGCGUGUUCGAGGAGCUAAAGCAUUUUUGUUAGAAAAGACUAAUGUUGCAAUGCCGUUGAUGAAAGGGCAAAAGCCAAGGGAGAGAACCAAUUCAAAACAAAUAAUAAGAAGCCAACAAUGGGAUGAAGAUUUUAAUGCACUGAUGUUUAUGAUUCUGCUUUGAACCAAUAAACGUCACAGAUGAAACGAUUCCAAAUGAAUAUAUAAAGGAAGAUGAUUCAGCUUGAA
Molecule: RNA transcript, 2502 nt
Organism: Cucurbita pepo subsp. pepo (vegetable marrow)
Lineage: Eukaryota; Viridiplantae; Streptophyta; Magnoliopsida; Cucurbitales; Cucurbitaceae
Gene name: transmembrane 9 superfamily member 11
Source: RefSeq, a predicted model, not a curated record